ACGAACGCUGGCGGCGUGCUUAACACAUGCAAGUCGAACGGGUCUGCCCUGUUUUUUGCGGGGUGGGUCAGUGGCGAACGGGUGAGUAACACGUGAGUAACCUGCCCCUCACUUCUGGAUAACCGCUUGAAAGGGUGGCUAAUACGGGGUGUUCUGGCUGUGCCGCAUGGUGUGGCUGGGAAGGAUUCACUUUUGUGGUGUUUUGGUGGGGGAUGGGCUCGCGGCCUAUCAGCUUGUUGGUGGGGUGAUGGCCUGCCAAGGCUUUGACGGGUAGCCGGCCUGAGAGGGUGGGCGGUCACACUGGGACUGAGAUACGGCCCAGACUCCUGCGGGAGGCAGCAGUGGGGGGUAUUGCACAAUGGGCGGAAGCCUGAUGCAGCGACGUCGCGUGAGGGAUGGAGGCCUUCGGGUUGUGAACCUCUUUCGCCGGUGAAGAAGGUCCUGCUCUUUGUGGUGGGGUUGACGGUAGCCGGGUUAUGAAGCGCCGGCUAACUACGUG
Molecule: ribosomal RNA, 499 nt
Filed under: uncultured bacterium
Lineage: Bacteria
Description: partial 16S ribosomal RNA
Rfam family: Bacterial small subunit ribosomal RNA
Source: RNAcentral